Molecule: ribosomal RNA, 252 nt
Filed under: Acinetobacter baumannii
Lineage: Bacteria; Pseudomonadati; Pseudomonadota; Gammaproteobacteria; Moraxellales; Moraxellaceae
Description: partial 23S ribosomal RNA
Rfam family: Bacterial large subunit ribosomal RNA
Source: RNAcentral
GUGGACGAACCUCUGGUGUACCGGUUGUGACGCCAGUCGCAUCGCCGGGUAGCUAUGUUCGGAAGGGAUAACCGCUGAAAGCAUCUAAGCGGGAAGCCUACCUCAAGAUAAGAUUUCCCUAGGACUUUAUGUCCUCUAAAGAGCCGUUCGAGACUAGGACGUUGAUAGGUUGGAUGUGGAAGCAUAGUGAUAUGUGAAGCUGACCAAUACUAAUUGCUCGUGAGGCUUGACUAUACAACACCCAAGCAGUUG